This 491-nucleotide ribosomal RNA is filed under the name uncultured bacterium. RNAcentral's name for it is "bacterial SSU rRNA". It matches the Rfam family "Bacterial small subunit ribosomal RNA", at positions 29 to 512 of the family's 1533-position model. The record is from RNAcentral.
AUUGAACGCUGGCGGCGUGCCUAACACAUGCAAGUCGAGCGGCAGCGCGGGAGCAAUCCUGGCGGCGAGCGGCGGACGGGUGAGUAACGCUUGGGAAUCUGCCUAUUAGUGGGGGACAACCCGGGGAAACUCGGGCUAAUACCGCAUACGCACUACGGUGGAAAGCCGGGGACCGCAAGGCCUGGCGCUAACAGAUGAGCCCAAGUCGGAUUAGCUAGUUGGUAGGGUAACGGCCUACCAAGGCGACGAUCCGUAACUGGUCUGAGAGGACGACCAGUCACACCGGAACUGAGACACGGUCCGGACUCCUACGGGAGGCAGCAGUGGGGAAUAUUGGACAAUGGGGGAAACCCUGAUCCAGCGACGCCGCGUGGGUGAAGAAGGCCUGCGGGUUGUAAAGCCCUUUUCAGUGGGGAAGAAAAGCCCGGGGAUUAAUACUUCCGGGUCUUGACGUUACCUAAAGAAGAAGCACCGGCUAACUCCGUGCCAGC